GUUCGGGCGUCUACCAUCUUUGGAUCCAUACUCUCGACAACUAUCUUUUGUUGAAUAUUUUUUGAUCGACGUGGCAGCCAUCUUGAUAUUUUCAUCUUUGCUGAUUGUUGUCGUCUUGUUCCAAAUUAUAAAAAGGCUGAUCAACUUCCUCCCAGUCACAGUCGAUUCACGCAAAGUCAAGACUAAUUGAAUUAGUUUUAUUUUUACGGCACUACAACUUUUGUGAUGUACUUUGUAGUAUGACAAGUUGUUUUCCAAUAGGGUUAUAUAUUUGAAAGUCAUUUAUACAAAUCUUCGAGACAAAAUGAAGGGUUUCUCUUUAUAUUUAUACUAUUUGCUCUUGAUAUCAUCAACAACUUCCUACAAUAUUUUAGUAUUCUGUCCACUUUUUGGACAUAGCCAUUCCACAUUUUUUGGACGGCUUGCAGAUAUUCUAACGGAAGCUGGACAUAAUGUUACACUAUUUUCUCCUACAAUUAUUGAUGAAUUUCGAAAUUAUAGCUAUACAAAACUAACAAAGGAUGUUGCCUAUUUAGAUGUAGGUAUUGACGUGUUAUCAAGUCUAAAUAUAAGUUUUUUUCAGCCAAGUCCUGAACUCAAAGCAAUUGGGGACUUAAUUGCGGGUAACAAACGAUGGUGGAAUCAAGAAUUUUCAGUUUUUGAAAUUCCUCAAACCACUCGAUUUUUCAAGUCAAUUACUCGGGAACAAAACAACGUAUUAGCUAAUAAUUUAGCUCUUCUUGAUGGUCUAAAACAGAAAAAGUUUGAUCUCAUUCUUUUUGAAUCGGUUUUCACAUGCGCACUACGUAAGUAAUUUCGCAUUAUUUUUUCAAGAAAGUAUUAUGCCUCCACUUGUACCUUUCUAUGCAUAAAAAUUAAAAAGUCAAUUCUGCCGAGUAAAAAACGCUUCAAGUAAAUGAGAGGUCUAUUCACUUGCAGCACUCAUGGAAUACUUGGAAAUAAAAUCGUUUGCUGUUGCACAAUCGAUUGCUUAUGAGCCCAUAACUUUAGGUGCUCUUGGGGAUACUGUAAUGACCAGUCACAUACCGAGUGAGCUAUAAUGAUUAAUUUUAUGUUUGACUUAAAAAUUUUGAAGACCUGAUGGCACAAUCUUCUGAUAAAAUGAGCCUAUGCGAAAGAAUGCUGAACACUCUGAUUCAAGCAAUGCUCAAUGUAUAUGGAAUGACUCCUGAAUAUUAUCAAUCCUAUACAAACCCUGAAAAGAAGAUUUAUACAUUGGUAAGUAGUAUACACAGUUUUUUAGAGCAUUUAAUUAUUGUGCCAGUUUUAACAAUUUUUUUUCAGGAAAAGCUAUCGGAGGCCUCGUUUAUAUUCAUGAAUUCCAAUCCGUUUUUGGACUUUCCCCGAGCCACAAUCACUAAAAAUAUCCAAAUUGGAGGCAUCUCUGUAAAUCUUGACACGCUUAAGAGCAGCGGAAAAUUGACCGAAGAAUGGGAUCAAAUAUUAAACCUUCGUGAAAAAACACUACUCGUCUCUUUUGGAUCAGUGAUUUUAUCACAGGACAUGCCUUUCGCUUACAAGUGCAAUUUUCGUUUUUUGAUGCUUUUGAAUGUUCUUUGUUUCAGGGUAGGGUUGACAAAUGCAAUGAAACAACUCAAUGACGUCACUUUUAUUUGGAAAUAUGAAGGUGAUGAUAAAAAGGAGUUUGCAAAUGGAAUUAAGAAUAUUCACUUUUCAAAAUGGGUCCCACAGAGAGAACUUUUAGGUAACAAUGCUUUUAAUUUCACCGAAAUACAUAUUUACGUAACUGAAUGUAUGUUUUAGUGAGAUUAACAUAUAUAAUGUCGUAAAGAAUAUUACAACUUUGCCAAAAUGUUUGGCCAUUUUUGAAAGUUUUGUUUGAGAAGACUCAAUAAAAUAGCAAAAAAAUUUUAGCCGAUCCCCGUUUAUCAGCUUUUAUGACUCAUGGAGGUUUGGGAAGUGUCAAUGAAGUCAGUUACUUUGGAAAACCAACGAUCAUGGUAAGCCCUUGUUUCAUGUCUAAGUUUUUGCAUACAGAAGUUCAGUGUCCACUUUCUGGCGAUCAGAUGAGAAAUGCCAAAAUGCUUGAACGUCACAACGGAUCUAUAGAAUUUUCAAAGUAUGAUCUACACAAUGAGAAAGUUGUCGCAAAUGCUUUUCGAAAAAUUUUAUACGAUGAAAGG
This 2165-nucleotide small RNA is filed under the name Caenorhabditis elegans. RNAcentral's name for it is "Unclassified non-coding RNA F10D2.17". Lineage: Eukaryota; Metazoa; Nematoda; Chromadorea; Rhabditida; Rhabditidae. The record is from RNAcentral.